Molecule: microRNA precursor, 113 nt
Filed under: Heliconius melpomene (postman butterfly)
Lineage: Eukaryota; Metazoa; Arthropoda; Insecta; Lepidoptera; Nymphalidae
Description: miRNA HMEL002028
Source: RNAcentral
GAAGAAACGAGAAUAUCCCAGCCUUGGUGAGGGUCUUGGCGGUCUAGUGGGUGUGCUCAGUUCUUACUGGCCUGCUAAGUCCCAAGCUAUGGUGGGAAUACGCAAGGAUCAUC